Molecule: transfer RNA, 76 nt
Filed under: Vibrio cholerae
Lineage: Bacteria; Pseudomonadati; Pseudomonadota; Gammaproteobacteria; Vibrionales; Vibrionaceae
Also listed under: 1 other name
Description: tRNA-Gly
Rfam family: tRNA
About the family: Transfer RNA (tRNA) molecules are approximately 80 nucleotides in length. Their secondary structure includes four short double-helical elements and three loops (D, anti-codon, and T loops).
Source: RNAcentral
GCGACACUAGCUGAGUUGGUAGAGCGCAACCUUGCCAAGGUUGAGGUCACGAGUUCGAACCUCGUGUGUCGCUCCA